CGGACCUAGAUGGCUCUCGAUAAGCCCUG
Molecule: non-coding RNA, 29 nt
Filed under: Homo sapiens (human)
Lineage: Eukaryota; Metazoa; Chordata; Mammalia; Primates; Hominidae
Source: RNAcentral